This 215-nucleotide unclassified non-coding RNA is filed under the name Hevea brasiliensis (rubber tree). Lineage: Eukaryota; Viridiplantae; Streptophyta; Magnoliopsida; Malpighiales; Euphorbiaceae. The record is from RNAcentral.
GCAUGAUCCACGCCAAGAAAAUGUGCUAUAAGUACAUCCCAAUCUUCUUGAUACAGGUAUGGAAACAAGUGUUCAACGCAGCCAUCAUCUACCGUGUCAAGGUCUUUAACAUUAAAUGAAGGGAACGGAUGAGAUAUAUUAAAAUGUUGAGGAAACAGUUGAACCCACGUGUCAUCCCCCAUCAUCACAACUCGCUUGCCAUUCUUAGCCAUCUG